GUAACGGCGAGUGAAGCGGCAACAGCUCAAAUUUGAAAUCUGGCACCCGCCCGAGUUGUAAUUUGUAGAGGAUGCUUCUAGGCAGCGGCCGGUCUAAGUUCCUUGGAACAGGACGUCAUAGAGGGUGAGAAUCCCGUAUGUGACCGGCUGGCACCUUACACGUAGCUCCUUCGACGAGUCGAGUUGUUUGGGAAUGCAGCUCUAAAUGGGAGGUAAAUUUCUUCUAAAGCUAAAUAUCGGCCAGAGACCGAUAGCGCACAAGUAGAGUGAUCGAAAGAUGAAAAGUACUUUGGAAAGAGAGUUAAAAAGCACGUGAAAUUGUUGAAAGGGAAGCGCUUGCAACCAGACUUUAUAGCGGUGUUCCACCGGUCUUCUGACCGGUCUACUCGCCGUCGUAAGGCCAACGUCGUCUGGGACCGCCGGAUAAAGGCGUCGGGAAUGUGACUCCCUCGGGAGUGUUAUAGCCCUUCGCACAAUACGGCGUGACCCGGGCGAGGUCCGCGCUUCGGCAAGGACGUUGGCGUAAUGGUCGUAAGCGGCCCGUCUUGAAACACGGACCAAGGAGUCGAUCAAUUGUGCGAGUGUUCGGGUGGAAAACCCUUGCGCGUAAUGAAAGUGAACGGAGGCGAGAACUUCGGUGCAUCGUCGACCGAUCCUGAUGUUUACGGAUGGAUUUGAGUAAGAGCAUAGCUGAUCGGACCCGAAAGAUGGUGAACUAUGCCUAAAUAGAAUGAAGCCAGAGGAAACUCUGGUGGAAGUUCGCAGCGGUUCUGACGUGCAAAUCGAUCGUCAAAUUUGGG
This 800-nucleotide ribosomal RNA is filed under the name Eriosporella bambusicola. RNAcentral describes it as "eukaryotic LSU rRNA". It matches the Rfam family "Eukaryotic large subunit ribosomal RNA", at positions 83 to 915 of the family's 3401-position model. Lineage: Eukaryota; Fungi; Ascomycota; Dothideomycetes; Capnodiales. The record is from RNAcentral.